GACAGAGGCCUCACGGUGGGUUCGUGGCCUUACAGACCGGCCUGAGCGGGGUAACGCGAUGCGGAGCCGCCCCUCACCUGCCUGAGGGCAUGGCGCCUCGCGGCUCUCCUCAGGAGCUGGCUGGGCCGGGCAGCAGCGCGUCGUCCAGUCACCGGUGGAGCCGGGCGCAGGAGGGCUUCGACGGCCGCUGGGCCUCGGGAAGGCUGGGGCAGGAGGUUGAAGAUGUGAAACAUACCGUGAAAAGGCUCAAAGCUGACAUAUUUCAGGCUAGGAGCAUCCCACAUGUGUGACUGUGCUGAACUUCUUCUUGCCAGGAUUCCUCUAAAACACUCAGGAACUCCAGAACAUGGUGUGUUUACUGAGCAAAUGCAGAAACAUCAGUGAGAGCUGGAAUUGGAGCCAAGGCUGAAGAGAACAGGGAUGCCAUGUGAGAGAUGAGACCCUGGGGACAAGUUUCUGAUGGUAACAGCAUGGACAAUAAUGGGAAAGUGAUGCAUUCAGGUUCUUCAGAGAAGAUAAUGAAACUCACUUUAUGAUUUGAAGGUAGAGCUGAGCAAGAAGAAGAAAGACCUUGUCUAGAGGUCAAGGCUGACAGAGUCUCAACUACUAGGAUGUUUAAGCACGACUGAUCUGCUAGUGGAUACAGUUGUAACCCUAGGACUGACCUUGAUUAACUAAUGUGUGUGUUGGAAGGCAUUAAUGUUUUCUCUUGUAGUGGAAAUUGUAUAAAAGUGAGGUUUCUCAAGCAGAGAGCUGGAAUACAAGCACCAUGUAAAUCUGUACAGAUUUUGUGCUGUUCUCUUAGGAAGUGCCCCCUUAUAGAAUAUCUUGUAGUGGAUAUCUGUUUCAGCCAUCACAGGUUGAUUUUUUGGGGAAUUCCUACCCUUGUUGUGGUUUAGUUAUAUUUUACACUUCAUUUAAAGUCCUUCUUUUCAGGAAAAUCAGUGAAACUGAAUUGUCAUCUGUGUGUGUAUUCAGGGGAAGUGGUAUUAGGACCAAUAAGGAAUUAUUUAAACAUGAAAAUAAACUUAUUAUGUGAUAGAGUUCAUGAGGGUAGAAGAUACAGAGAUUAAUUAAAUCACAAGUUGCUACUCCCAACACAGCAUUCUGUGACUAAAAGGCCAGCAUACUGUAUGGUGAACUGAGAAUACAUGAAAAUCAAAGGAAACAUUUACAAAAUUUGCCAACUUCAAGUUGUACAGCUUAUUACAGUGAUGUGUUCUGCCGAAUGAGAUCUAAUUCAACAUGAGUAAUAGUAGGAAAAAUCUCACUACGUGUGAACAUUUACUAUGAAACAGUCCAAAGCAGUCAACAGAUGCUAUUCAUAGUUUAUAGUUCGCCCAGUUUUCCCAGUUGGAUCGUCUGAAGCACAGCUCAGAUUUGUUUAAACUCAGCCUCAGCUUGGAAAGGUCUGUGGGUUGUUAAGAUGUAACACACUGAGAGUCUCACUGGACCUGCCUGCACCAGAAAAUGAAUCAAAUUCCGGACACUGAAGUAGGCUCACAUGAAAACAGAAAUACCAGGGGUGUUUUUACUGCUGCUGUCUGCCCCUGUGCCAGGCCAAGCCAAAAUUGUCCCCUACCUGCAUGUCAGAAGUCUCAAAAGUUCACCGUAAGGA
Molecule: long non-coding RNA, 1618 nt
Organism: Gymnogyps californianus (California condor)
Lineage: Eukaryota; Metazoa; Chordata; Aves; Accipitriformes; Cathartidae
Exons: 3
Source: RefSeq, a predicted model, not a curated record